AUUGAACGCUGGCGGCAUGUCUUACACAUGCAAGUCGAACGGUAACAGGUCUUCGGAUGCUGACGAGUGGCGAACGGGUGAGUAAUACAUCGGAACGUGCCUAGUAGUGGGGGAUAACUACGCGAAAGAGUGGCUAAUACCGCAUGAGAUCUACGGAUGAAAGCAGGGGAUCGCAAGACCUUGUGCUACUAGAGCGGCCGAUGGCAGAUUAGGUAGUUGGUGGGAUAAAAGCUUACCAAGCCGACGAUCUGUAGCUGGUCUGAGAGGACGAUCAGCCACACUGGGACUGAGACACGGCCCAGACUCCUACGGGAGGCAGCAGUGGGGAAUUUUGGACAAUGGGCGAAAGCCUGAUCCAGCAAUGCCGCGUGCAGGAUGAAGGCCUUCGGGUUGUAAACUGCUUUUGUACGGAACGAAAAGCCCCGGGUUAAUACCCUGGGGUCAUGACGGUACCGUAAGAAUAAGCACCGGCUAACUACGUGCCAGCCGCCGCGGUAA
RNAcentral lists this ribosomal RNA (498 nucleotides) under uncultured bacterium. Its description in RNAcentral is "partial 16S ribosomal RNA". It matches the Rfam family "Bacterial small subunit ribosomal RNA", at positions 30 to 523 of the family's 1533-position model. The record is from RNAcentral.